AUUGCCUACGGGACGCAGCAGUUUGUACUCUUGCACCAUGGUUUAAACCCUGAUGCAGCAACGCCGCGUGAGUGAUGACGGCCUUCGGGUUGUAAAGCUCUGUCUUCAGGGACGAUAAUGACGGUACCUGAGGAGGAAGCCACGGCUAACUACGUGCCAGCAGCCGCGGUAAUACGUAGGUGGCGAGCGUUGUCCGGAUUUACUGGGCGUAAAGGGAGCGUAGGCGGACCUUUAAGUGAGAUGCGAAAUACUCGGGCUCAACUUGAGUGCUGCAUUUCAAACUGGAAGUCUAGAGUGCAGGAGAG
RNAcentral lists this ribosomal RNA (305 nucleotides) under uncultured bacterium. Its description in RNAcentral is "bacterial SSU rRNA". It matches the Rfam family "Bacterial small subunit ribosomal RNA", at positions 334 to 656 of the family's 1533-position model. The record is from RNAcentral.